Molecule: ribosomal RNA, 450 nt
Filed under: uncultured bacterium
Lineage: Bacteria
Description: partial 16S ribosomal RNA
Rfam family: Bacterial small subunit ribosomal RNA
Source: RNAcentral
CCUACGGGUGGCAGCAGUGGGGAAUUUUGGACAAUGGGGGCAACCCUGAUCCAGCCAUGCCGCGUGCGGGAAGAAGGCCUUCGGGUUGUAAACCGCUUUUGUCAGGGAAGAAAUCUUCCGAGCUAAUACCUUGGGAGGAUGACGGUACCUGAAGAAUAAGCACCGGCUAACUACGUGCCAGCAGCCGCGGUCAUACGUAGGGUGCAAGCGUUAAUCGGAAUUACCGCACGUGAUGCGUCAAGACAGGUUUGAAAUCCCCGGGCUUAACCUGGGAACUGCACUUGUGACUGUACGGCUGGAGUACGGCAGAGGGGGAUGGAAUUCCGCGUGUAGCAGUGAAAUGCGUAGAUAUGCGGAGGAACACCGAUGGCGAAGGCAGUCCCCUGGGCCUGUACUGACGCUCAUGCACGAAAGCGUGGGGAGCAAACAGGAUUAGAUACCCUGGUAGUC